This 601-nucleotide ribosomal RNA is filed under the name uncultured bacterium. Its description in RNAcentral is "bacterial SSU rRNA". It matches the Rfam family "Bacterial small subunit ribosomal RNA", at positions 735 to 1340 of the family's 1533-position model. The record is from RNAcentral.
CUUAACUGACGCUAAAGCUCGAAAGUGCGGGUAUCGAACAGGAUUAGAUACCCUGGUAGUCCGCACGGUAAACGAUGGAUGCCCGCUGUUGGCGAUACAAUGUCAGCGGCCAAGCGAAAGCGUUAAGCAUCCCACCUGGGGAGUACGCCGGCAACGGUGAAACUCAAAGGAAUUGACGGGGGCCCGCACAAGCGGAGGAACAUGUGGUUUAAUUCGAUGAUACGCGAGGAACCUUACCCGGGCUUGAACUGCAGCUGAACGAUCCAGAGAUGGUGAGGCCCUUCGGGGCAGCUGUGGAGGUGCUGCAUGGUUGUCGUCAGCUCGUGCCGUGAGGUGUCGGCUUAAGUGCCAUAACGAGCGCAACCCUUUUCUCUAGUUGCCAUCAGGUUUUGCUGGGCACUCUGGAGACACUGCCACCGUAAGGUGUGAGGAAGGUGGGGAUGACGUCAAAUCAGCACGGCCCUUACGUCCGGGGCUACACACGUGUUACAAUGGGUGGUACAGAGAGUCAGCGGCCGGCAACGUCCGCUUAAUCAUGAAAUCCAUCCUCAGUUCGGAUUGGGGUCUGCAACCCGACCCCAUGAAGCUGGAUUCGCUAGUA